CCUAUCAUGCAAGUCGAGCGCGCCCUUCGGGGUGAGCGGCGGACGGGUGAGUACCCCUUUGGGAAUAUGCCCUUCUCUAAGGAAUAGCCUCUGGAAACGGAGAGUAAUACCUUAUACGCCCUUUGGGGGAAAGAUUUAUCGGAGAAGGAUUAGCCCGCGUUAGAUUAGGUAGUUGGUGGGGUAAUGGCCUACCAAGCCUACGAUCUAUAGCUGGUUUGAGAGGAUGAUCAGCCACACUGGGACUGAGACACGGCCCAGACUCCUACGGGAGGCAGCAGUAGGGAAUCUUAGACAAUGGGGGCAACCCUGAUCUAGCCAUGCCGCGUGUGUGAUGAAGGCCCUAGGGUCGUAAAGCACUUUCGCCAGAGAUGAUAAUGACAGUAUCUGGUAAAGAAACCCCGGCUAACUCCGUGCCAGCAGCCGCGGUAAUACGGAGGGGGUUAGCGUUGUUCGGAAUUACUGGGCGUAAAGCGCACGUAGGCGGAUUAGUAAGUUAGAGGUGAAAUCCCAGGGCUCAACCCUGGAACUGCCUUUAAUACUGCUAGUCUUGAGUUCGAGAGAGGUAAGUGGAAUUCCGAGUGUAGAGGUGAAAUUCGUAGAUAUUCGGAGGAA
RNAcentral lists this ribosomal RNA (612 nucleotides) under uncultured bacterium. Its description in RNAcentral is "bacterial SSU rRNA". It matches the Rfam family "Bacterial small subunit ribosomal RNA", at positions 47 to 706 of the family's 1533-position model. The record is from RNAcentral.